This 497-nucleotide ribosomal RNA is filed under the name uncultured bacterium. RNAcentral's name for it is "partial 16S ribosomal RNA". It matches the Rfam family "Bacterial small subunit ribosomal RNA", at positions 28 to 507 of the family's 1533-position model. The record is from RNAcentral.
GAUGAACGCUGGCGGCGUGCCUAAUACAUGCAAGUCGAGCGAACAGACGAGGAGCUUGCUCCUCUGACGUUAGCGGCGGACGGGUGAGUAACACGUGGAUAACCUACCUAUAAGACUGGGAUAACUUCGGGAAACCGGAGCUAAUACCGGAUAAUAUAUUGAACCGCAUGGUUCAAUAGUGAAAGACGGUUUUGCUGUCACUUAUAGAUGGAUCCGCGCCGCAUUAGCUAGUUGGUAAGGUAACGGCUUACCAAGGCAACGAUGCGUAGCCGACCUGAGCGGGUGGUCGGCCACACGGGAUGUGAGACACGGUACAGACUCCUACGGGAGGCCGCAGUAGAGAAUCUUCCGCAAUGGGCGAAAGCCUGACGGAGCAACGCCGCGUGAGUGAUGAAGGUCUUCGGAUCGUAGAACUCUGUUAUUAGGGAAGAAGAAAUGUGUAAGUAACUAUGCACGUCUUGACGGUACCUAAUCAGAAAGCCACGGCUAACUACGUG